CCCACUCAAUCUGUUGAUUCGGAAUCGUGGGAUGGGUCGCUGUAAAAGACGAUGAAUUGGUUUCUUUUUCUAUCCCUGCCACUCAUUUUUGUUAGUACCUUCUAGAAUACUUGAAGAAUCAAAACUUUCAAUUGAAGGUAUUCUUCAAUGGGUAGAGCAUUUUUGCUUAUCUUCGUAUCGUCCAAAAGUGGAAACUUAGGGAAGUG
RNAcentral lists this long non-coding RNA (206 nucleotides) under Citrus maxima (pomelo). Its description in RNAcentral is "long non-coding RNA (CMAX_LNC004369)". The record is from RNAcentral. Lineage: Eukaryota; Viridiplantae; Streptophyta; Magnoliopsida; Sapindales; Rutaceae.